This 835-nucleotide ribosomal RNA is filed under the name uncultured Actinomycetes bacterium. RNAcentral's name for it is "bacterial SSU rRNA". It matches the Rfam family "Bacterial small subunit ribosomal RNA", at positions 69 to 914 of the family's 1533-position model. The record is from RNAcentral. Lineage: Bacteria; Bacillati; Actinomycetota; Actinomycetes.
CCAAUGUGUAGCAAUACACAGGAAGAUCUAGUGGCGAACGGGUGAGGAACACGUGAGAAACGUACCCCGGACUCUGGGAUAACAAUUCGAAAGGAUUGCUAAUACCAGAUGACGUCGGAAGUCCGCAUGGACAUCUGACGAAAGGGAUUCCGGUUUGGGAGCGUCUCGCGGACCUAUCAGCUAGUUGGAGGGGUAACGGCCCACCAAGGCAACGACGGGUAGCUGGUCUGAGAGGAUGGUCAGCCACACUGGGACUGAGACACGGCCCAGACUCCUACGGGAGGCAGCAGUGGGGAAUCUUGCGCAAUGGGCGAAAGCCUGACGCAGCAACGCCGCGUGCGGGAAGAAGGCUUUCGGGCUGUAAACCGCUUUCAGUAGGAACGAAACUGACGGUACCUACAGAAGAAGGAGCGGCCAACUAUGUGCCAGCAGCCGCGGUGACACAUAGGCUCCAAGCGUUGUCCGGAUUUAUUGGGCGUAAAGAGCUCGUAGGCGGUUGAGUAAGUCGGGUGUGAAAACUUUGGGCUUAACCCAAAGAUGCCACUCGAUACUGUUCAACUUGAGUUUGGUAGGGGAGUGGGGAAUUCCUUGUGUAGCGGUGAAAUGCGCAGAUAUAAGGAGGAACACCGGUGGCGAAGGCGCCACUCUGGGCCAAUACUGACGCUGAGGAGCGAAAGCGUGGGGAGCAAACAGGAUUAGAUACCCCUGGUAGUCCACGCGGUAAACGGUGGUCACUAGGUGUGGGUCUCUUCAAACGAGAUCUGCGCCGUCGCUAACGCAUUAAGUGACCCGCCUGGGGAGUACGGUCGCAAGACUAAAACUCAAAUGAAUUGAC